Molecule: ribosomal RNA, 434 nt
Filed under: uncultured bacterium
Lineage: Bacteria
Description: partial 16S ribosomal RNA
Rfam family: Bacterial small subunit ribosomal RNA
Source: RNAcentral
AACGAACGCUGGCGGCAUGCCUAACACAUGCAAGUCGAACGAACCUUUCUGGUUUAGUUUCGGGCUGGUGAGUAACACGUUGGAACGUGCCUGUAUGUUCCGAAUAACUCAUGGAAACUUGUUCUAAUACCGAAUGUGCCCUUCGGGGUAAUGAUUUAUCGCCUUUAGAGCUGCCCGCGGCUGUUUAGCUAGUUGGUUUAGUUAAUGGCUCACCACGGCGAGGAUCUGUAGCUGUUCUGGGAGGAUGAUCAGCCACAUUGGGACUGAGACACGGCACAAGCUCCGACGAGAGGAAGAAGUGGGGAAUCCUGCGGAAUGGGCGAAAGCCUGACGAAGCCAUGCCGCGUGAAUGAUGCAGGUCUUAGGAUUGUAAAAUUCUUUCGGCGGGGACGAUAGUGACGGUACUCGGAGAAGAAGCACCGGCUAACUUCGUG